This 497-nucleotide ribosomal RNA is filed under the name uncultured bacterium. RNAcentral's name for it is "partial 16S ribosomal RNA". It matches the Rfam family "Bacterial small subunit ribosomal RNA", at positions 28 to 507 of the family's 1533-position model. The record is from RNAcentral.
GACGAACGCUGGCGGCGUGCCUAAUACAUGCAAGUUGAGCGCUGAAGGUUGGUACUUGUACCAACUGGAUGAGCAGCGAACGGGUGAGUAACGCGUGGGGAAUCUGCCUUUGAGCGGGGGACAACAUUUGGAAACGAAUGCUAAUACCGCAUAAAAACUUUAAACACAAGUUUUAAGUUUGAAAGAUGCAAUUGCAUCACUCAAAGAUGAUCCCGCGUUGUAUUAGCUAGUUGGUGAGGUAAAGGCUCACCAAGGCGAUGAUACAUAGCCGACCUGAGAGGGUGGUCGGCCACAUUGGGACUGUGACACGGCCCACACUCCUACGGGAGGCAGCAGUAGGGGAUCUUCGGCAAUGGGCGAAAGUCUGACCGAGCGACGCCGCGUGAGUGUAGAAGGUUUUCGGGUCGUAAAACUCUGUUGGUAGGGAAGAACGUUGGUGAGAGUGGAAAGCUCAUCAAGUGACGGUAACUACCCAGAAAGGGACGGCUAACUACGUG